CAAUGGGGGAAACCCUGAUCCAGCAAUGCCGCGUGAGUGAAGAAGGCCUUCGGGUUGUAAAGCUCUUUCAUCAAUGAUGAUAAUGACAUUAGUUGAAGAAGAAGCCCCGGCUAACUUCGUGCCAGCAGCCGCGGUAAUACGAAGGGGGCUAGCGUUGUUCGGAAUCACUGGGCGUAAAGCGUAUGUAGGCGGAUCAAAAAGUUAGAUGUGAAAUCCCUGGGCUCAACCCAGGAACUGCAUUUAAAACUAGUGAUCUAGAAUUUGGUAGGGGUUAGUAGAAUUUCCAGUGUAGAGGUGAAAUUCGUAGAUAUUGGAAAGAAUACCAGUGGCGAAGGCGACUAACUGGGCCAUUUUUGACGCUGAGAUACGAAAGCGUGGGUAGCAAACAGGAUUAGAUACCCUGGUAGUCCACGCAGUAAACGAUGAGUGCUAGUCGCUGGGACAUUAGUUUCAGUGUCGAAGCUAACGCAUUAAGCACUCCGCCUGGGAAGUACGGUCGCAAGAUUAAAACUCAAAUAAAUUGACGGGGGCCCGCACAAGCGGUGGAGCAUGUGGUUUAAUUCGAAGCAACGCGAAGAACCUUACCAGACCUUGACAUGGUAUGUAUGAAUUACAGAAUCGUAAUUCUUCAGUUCGGCUGGCAUACACACAGGUGCUGCAUGGCUGUCGUCAGCUCGUGUCGUGAGAUGUUGGGUUAAGUCCCGCAACGAGCGCA
This 715-nucleotide ribosomal RNA is filed under the name uncultured Alphaproteobacteria bacterium. RNAcentral describes it as "bacterial SSU rRNA". It matches the Rfam family "Bacterial small subunit ribosomal RNA", at positions 369 to 1100 of the family's 1533-position model. The record is from RNAcentral. Lineage: Bacteria; Pseudomonadati; Pseudomonadota; Alphaproteobacteria.